Molecule: ribosomal RNA, 254 nt
Filed under: uncultured bacterium
Lineage: Bacteria
Description: partial 16S ribosomal RNA
Rfam family: Bacterial small subunit ribosomal RNA
Source: RNAcentral
CAAACCAAGCUGGCGACCGGCGCACGGGUGAGUAACACGUAUCCAACCUGCCUCAUACUCGGGGAUGGCCUUUCGAAAGAAAGAUUAAUAUCCGAUAGCAUAUAUUUCCCGCAUGGGUUUUAUAUUAAAGAAAUUCGGUAUGAGAUGGGGAUGCGUUCCAUUAGUUUGUUGGGGGGGUAACGGCCCACCAAGACUACGAUGGAUAGGGGUUCUGAGAGGAAGGUCCCCCACAUUGGAACUGAGACACGGUCCAA